RNAcentral lists this ribosomal RNA (374 nucleotides) under uncultured Thiovirga sp. RNAcentral's name for it is "bacterial SSU rRNA". It matches the Rfam family "Bacterial small subunit ribosomal RNA", at positions 1007 to 1382 of the family's 1533-position model. The record is from RNAcentral. Lineage: Bacteria; Pseudomonadati; Pseudomonadota; Gammaproteobacteria; Chromatiales; Halothiobacillaceae.
GGUGACCGACCCUUCGGGAACCUACACACAGGUGCUGCACGGCUGUCGUCAGCUCGUGUCGUGAGAUGUUGGGUUAAGUCCGCAACGAGCGCAACCCUUGCCCUUAGUUACCAUCAUUUAGUUGGGGGACUCUAAGGGGACUGCCGGUGAUAAACCGGAGGAAGGUGGGGACGACGUCAAGUCAUCAUGGCCCUUAUGACCGGGGCUACACACGUACUACAAUGGUCGGUACAGACGGUCGCAAGCUCGCGAGAGUAAGCUAAUCCGAGAAAACCGAUCGUAGUCCGGAUCGCAGUCUGCAACUCGACUGCGUGAAGUCGGAAUCGCUAGUAAUCGCAAAUCAGAAUGUUGCGGUGAAUACGUUCCCGGGCCUU